RNAcentral lists this ribosomal RNA (425 nucleotides) under uncultured bacterium. RNAcentral's name for it is "bacterial SSU rRNA". It matches the Rfam family "Bacterial small subunit ribosomal RNA", at positions 354 to 796 of the family's 1533-position model. The record is from RNAcentral.
GUGGGGAAUAUUGGACAAUGGGGGCAACCCUGAUCCAGCAAUGCCGCGUGUGUGAUGAAGGCCCUAGGGUUGUAAAGCACUUUCGCCGAUGACGAUGAUGACGGUAGUCGGAUAAGAAGCCCCGGCUAACUCCGUGCCAGCAGCCGCGGUAAUACGGAGGGGGCGAGCGUUGUUCGGAAUUACUGGGCGUAAAGGGCGCGUAGGCGGUGACGCUAGUCAGACGUGAAAGCCCCGGGCUCAACCUGGGAGGUGCGUUUGAUACUGCGUUGCUUGAGAGCGGAAGAGGGUAGUGGAAUUCCCAGUGUAGAGGUGAAAUUCGUAGAUAUUGGGAAGAACACCAGUGGCGAAGGCGGCUACCUGGUCCGUUUCUGACGCUGAGGCGCGAAAGCGUGGGGAGCAAACAGGAUUAGAUACCCUAGUAGUCC